UGGGGAAUAUUGGACAAUGGGCGCAAGCCUGAUCCAGCCAUGCCGCGUGAGUGAAGAAGGCCUUAGGGUUGUAAAACUCUUUCGCCGGGGAAGAUAAUGACGGUACCCGGAGAAGAAGCUCCGGCUAACUUCGUGCCAGCAGCCGCGGUAAUACGAAGGGAGCUAGCGUUGUUCGGAAUUACUGGGCGUAAAGCGCACGUAGGCGGACUUGUCAGUCAGGGGUGAAAUCCCAAGGCUCAACCUUGGAACUGCCUCCGAUACAGCAAGCCUAGAGAUCGGGAGAGGUGAGUGGAAUUCCUAGUGUAGAGGUGAAAUUCGUAGAUAUUAGGAAGAACACCAGUGGCGAAGGCGGCUCACUGGCCCGAUACUGACGCUGAGGUGCGAAAGCGUGGGGAGCAAACAGGAUUAGAUACCCACGUAGUCCCUGAGCGGGCUGGCAAGGCGCAU
Molecule: ribosomal RNA, 447 nt
Filed under: uncultured bacterium
Lineage: Bacteria
Description: bacterial SSU rRNA
Rfam family: Bacterial small subunit ribosomal RNA
Source: RNAcentral